CAGGCGCGAAACCUUUACACUGCACGCACGUGCGAUAAGGGGACUCCGAGUGCGAGGGCAUAUCGUCCUCGCUUUCGUGUACCGUAGGGUGGUACACCAACAAGGGCUGGGCAAGACCGGUGCCAGCCGCCGCGGUAAUACCGGCAGCCCGAGUGAUGGCCGAUCUUAUUGGGCCUAAAGCGUCCGUAGCUGGCUGCGCAAGUCCGUCGGGAAAUCCACUCGCCCAACGAGUGGGCGUCCGACGGAAACUGCACAGCUUGGGACCGGAAGGCUCGAAGGGUACGUUCGGGGUAGGAGUGAAAUCCUAUAAUCCCGCACGGACCACCGAUGGCGAAAGCACUUCGAGAAAACGGAUCCGACAGUGAGGGACGAAAGCCAGGGUCUCCAACCGGAUUAGAUACCCGGGUAGUCCUGGCCGUAAACAAUGUUCGCUAGGUAUGACACAGACUACGCGUCUCUGUUGUGCCGUAGGGAAGCCGAGAAG
This 484-nucleotide ribosomal RNA is filed under the name uncultured archaeon. RNAcentral describes it as "bacterial SSU rRNA". It matches the Rfam family "Archaeal small subunit ribosomal RNA", at positions 336 to 819 of the family's 1478-position model. The record is from RNAcentral.